RNAcentral lists this long non-coding RNA (26612 nucleotides) under Lathyrus oleraceus (garden pea). RNAcentral's name for it is "Pisum sativum (pea) long non-coding RNA (PSAT_LNC029257)". The record is from RNAcentral. Lineage: Eukaryota; Viridiplantae; Streptophyta; Magnoliopsida; Fabales; Fabaceae.
UUGCACCAAAGGUUUGAAUCGCCACAAGAGGUAACGAUUCUAUCACUGAUCAUGCCCAUUCGUAAGGAUCAUUAAAUGGAGAAAUUUUUAAAUUCCGCUGCGCCUUGGGUGGCAAUUAUCCUUCACAGAGAAGGUGACCUUGUGCUCAAGAAGAUUUUAUCUUUAAAACCAGAUGCUAGGGGAAAAUGGACUUCUAAUUAUGAAGGCCCAUAUGUUGUUAAGAUGGCCUUUUUAGGUGUUGCUUUGAUUCUUACAACUAUGGAUGGUGAAGAGUUCACGCGUCCUGUGAAUAUCGAUGCAUUCAAGAAAUACUUCGCCUAAAAAGAAAAGAACAACUCGCUAAGUUGAAAACCCGAAAGGGCGACUUAGGAAAAAAUGAGCGACUUGGUGGAUUGAAAACCCGAAAGGGCGAUCCAGGAAAAAGUUAGAGACAUAAAACAGAAAAUUUUAUCUCGAUAAAUUGAGUACCCCGCCUUGGGGAAAUUUAUGCAAAAAUUAGGGAUUAUGGCAAGUAACUGCAUCCUGUUGAUUGUCAGUUUUGAAGACAUUCUUGAGCACGUCAUUGGAUUCUGACCGAAGCCAAGAGCACAAUGGAUAUCAAAGUUGGUAGAAGGAUUAGUGAUCAUUAUAUUCAAUUUAGACCUUUUCCAUGUAAAUUACCAUUUUUCAACUUUAUUUUUCUAUUAAAUAAAGUUGAGCUUUUUAUCCAAUUGCUUCUACUCUUAUUUAUUUCAGCUAAAUAGAAUUAAAUUUUAUGAUGAUCAUUUUUUAAAUUGAAUUUAAAAAUUAAAAUCAUGUUUUUCUUAAAAUAAUAAAAGCAAUUACUUUUCAAGAGCAAUCGAUUUCAUUUAAGGAACAUCAAACAACAGUCUGAGAGGAUGUAAGCCCCAAAAUGUGAAUCAUUAUUGGUCUUCCCCCAAGCAGUUGGUUCAGUCAUCUUUUCCGAACGGUAAUUCAACAUCUCCAGCCGAGUUUGUAAUUGCCUCCCUCGAGUUGUAAGCACAUUAUCUCAGCAGUUUGCAUAGAUUCAACACAGAUUGUUACUCCCCUCAGGUCGUCGAUAGAAUUUAUGGCUGAUCCCUAUUAGCACUGAUUCUUGAGAAAUAUUUUUGGUCCUCUGCAAGGUUGUCUCCCAUUUUAUAUGGUGUUGACCUAAAAUAUCCCGCAAAGUUGAUGAUGCAGAUCCCUGGCAAUUUAUCCUCUCUCCCCUCAGUCGGGGACGAGCCUUUGAGAAGAUCCCUGGCAAUUUAGCAUCUCUUUCUCCAGUUGUUGCUUCCAUCCUGUUGAGAUUGGCGGAGUAUGGUAUCAAUGAUUCAUAUUAGUGACAUUUAUAUCCUUGUGAUUGUUUUGUCAGCAUAAUCAUCAUAUAUACAUAUACAUAUACAUCCAUAGAUUUCAUCAUUGCAUUAUUAUUGUGUUUCUGUGAUUCAUUCUAUUUCUGAUCCUCUGCUAUGGUGGUAUCAUCUUCCCCCUCACAGAUUUGGUGUGUCUGUCCUCUUUCAAUUGUAGAAUGUCACCCCCCUUAGGCAAAAAGAAUUUAACCUUUCUCAUUCCCCACUGAGUUAUUUCCUCGUGGAUGAUCAUUAUUUCAGCUUCCUCCCUAGUUGAUUAUCUGGAUGGAACCACUCCCCCUGAGUUAUAUCCUCAUUGGGUUGAGUCUUUUAUUGACUUUUUAUUUCUAGAUCUUGCCUAGAUAGAUACUUUGAUCCCCCGAGAGUCUGUUACCAAGUAAAUGGUAAUAUUCUUCUCGAUUUGUGAGUACUUUACUUUUGCCCAAUACCCGGUAAACGUAAUCUACUUCCUUUAUGUUCCCUAGCGGAUCCGUUUUCACAUUUCCCAGGAAGUUUAUCCUUUAUAUGUUCAUCUUGACCGAUGACAGAUGUUCUUCCCUUUGAGUUUAUCCUUGAUAUGUUCAUCUUGACCGAUGACGAAUGUUCUUCCCUUUGAGUCUAUCCUUGAUAUGUUCAUCUUAACCGAUGACAGAUAUUCACGAUGACAGAUGUUCUUCCCUUUGAGUUUAUCCUUGAUAUGUUCAUCUUGACCGAUGACGAAUGUUCUUCCCUUUGAGUCUAUCCUUGAUAUGUUCAUCUUAACCGAUGACAGAUAUUCCUCGUUCUGGUUUUCUACCCAAUAACAAGGUAGUUAUAAUCCCUAUUUCAUUCUCCAGAGGGCUAAUCCUUGAUAUGUUCAUCCUAACCGAUGAUGGGUUUCCUCCUCUUUGCGGUCUUCUUCCCAACAACCGAUAGUCGUAAAUCCCAAUUCUCCCUUGGAGUCUAUCCUUGAUAUGUUCAUCUAAACCGAUGACAAAUAUUAUCUUUUUGGUAUUCUAUCCAGUAACUGAUAGAUGUAAUUCCUACUUUUUUCCGGUAGUCUAUCAUUGAUAUAUUCAUCUCAAUUGAUGACGGAUAUUCUUUCCGUUGAGUCUAUCCUUGAUAUGUUCACUUUAACCAGUGACAGGUAUUCUCCUCUUUGCGAGCCUCUGCCCAGUAACCGGUAGUUGUAAACCCUAUUUGGCUUUUCCCAGUUGGUUAUUAUUACCCAGUAACUGGUAAUGAAUACAUCUUCUAUUGCCCUCAACGAGUCAUCCUUGAUAUGUUUACCCUAACUAGUAAUGGAUGUCCUCUUUGUCAGAUUGUGUUAUCUCCUUACCCAAUAACCGGUAGUGGAUAAUAUACUUUUGUUACUCCUGUAUCGAAGAUCUUUUCUUCCCCAGUUGAGUUCGAGUGCGUAUUUACUCAGUGAAAUUGUCGUUUCCUAUUUGGUUCGGGCAUUUAAGCUUUGUUCUGAUUUACCUGUUUCCCCUGCAGAUUUUUCCUUUUAUCCCCGACUGAGUCUUUCCAUUGAUUUAUUUUCAUGGAAUCCCUCGUGUCCCCCAGCAGAUUUAAGUCAUAGCCUGACCUACGCACAACUUUUUACUCCCCUAGAGUCUCUGUCUCCCCGAUGAGUUUUCCUUAUGGAGAGCAUUGUGCUCCUGCGGACUUUCAGUCUCUCCGGAUUCUUUUCCUUUGUGGCAACAUUUACCCACAAAUAUUAUUUUGUAACAUUUCAUAUCAUAUGCAUCAUGAGGUAUCUUAGGGACCAAACUUUGCUUCUAUUGUUAUUAUUUAAGUCCAUUCUACUGAGUCGAUACGGAGAUCUAAACCUUCAUCGCCUCAGUUAGAACGUCCUUAAAUAGGGGCAGAUGUAAGACCCUGAUUUUGACCAUAAGACCCCUCAUGAUAUCUCAUCAUAUGCAUUAGCAUUGGGAUCACACCUUGGUAUCCUCCUUACCCCUCACUCAUUGGGUUUUCAUUGGGAGAGAUCGCCAAGCAUAAUUUGAUUGUAUCAUACUUUGUUUUUCAUUAUUUACUAAUCAAAAUGCCAAAAAUAUAUCAAUGUAUAGUUUGUUGUUUUUGUUGGUAGUAUGUGUGCUCACCUAUGCUCUAUCAAGCUCAUAACUAGGGUUUGAGACUCUCAAUACAAGGAGCUCAAUCAAGAGAUGGUUCAUGUUGGCUCUAAGUAUCAUAUAUGGAUCCCCAUGAUCUUCACAUGCUACUUUGAUCAAUAAAUCAUCAAGAGUUGGAGUUUGUUUGCCUUAGAAACCCUAACUCAUCUGGGUAUCUUGUGUGACUUCUUCAACAAGUUUCUUCAACAAUUGAUCAAAUAUUUCAAGGGAUACUUCACAUUACAUCAUCUUAUGCAUAUAUGAUCCUCCAUGAGUCCCAAAAUUCAAGAUAAUGUCAAGCUAGCAAGAUGGUUCAUGGUGGUUGAUCAGAGAAAGUCAACUGGUCAAAACUGGGGUUCCCUAGACCAUAUCUCCUACAAUUUGUGUCAUAUGAAAAUGAUUCCAAGAUUAAAGUUACUCUAAAUGACAUUCCAAACAACUUUAAUGUUGAAGUAUAGAGCUAGUUUUUCUUGGAAAGUCAUUUUUUAUGGUGAAAGAUUAUAGGUCAUUUUGUCUGAACCCUAGUUUGGAGGUCAACUUCCCAAGAUCAUAACUUGCUCAAUUUUUAUGAUAUGAAAGCCAUUAAAAUUCCAUGAUCAAAUUCAAGAUAUAUAAUUCAAAUUUUAUGUUUGGAGGGAGUGCAAAUGCAACUUGCAAAUGCAUGUUCCAAGAGGAAACAUUAUAGGUCAUUUUGAGCCACUACCAUUGAACAAGUGAUUUUCCUCAACUUCUAAAAUGCAUAACUCCUUCAUUCCAAACCUAAAUGAGGUCAAAUUUGUGACCAAAUUAAAGAGGUGUGAAAUAUAUACAACUUUGGUGAAGGAACAUUUCUCAUUUGAAGUCCAUAUAAAAAGUUAUUCAAGGUGGAAGAAGUGAACAUUUGACUUGGGACUUAGAAAAUUUUCAAAAUAUGUUUGAUUUCCCAAACUUACACCUCAAAAUUAAUCAUGAUCCAAGCCUCAAAUGAAAAAGUGUUCAACAUGAACGUUGUUCCCCUUGAUCUCACCUUUCCAAAAAGUCCAAGAUCAUCUCAUUUGGAUCAAAAUUGAGGGACUUGUACAUGGCUUCAUUGUGGGAAGUGUUUUGGCAAGAUUUGAACUCAAAUGAUCAAACUCUUUUGCAUGCUUCCACAUGAUGGAUUCAGUACCCUUUUCACACGAAUUGGAAGUGUAUUUCAUCAUUCAUAAGGCCCAAAUCAUUGCCCAUGCUCCCAUGCAAAGAAGUUUCUAAAAUUGGCCAAAUUUCAAGUGGUGCAAAUAUCAAGUGUUAUUGCCUAUUUAAACAAGCUCAAGGCUUCAGAAUCAGGAUGAACACCUGGCCUAAUCUUUGCUAGACUAAUUCAAACCAUCACUGCCAUAGAAUUUUUGAAGAUUUCUCUUGAAAUCGAGCUUGAACUUCAUCUUUUGUUUGGAAUUUCAAACUCCAUAAAUUCACUUCCCUUUUCAUCUCAAUUGGCUUCUGCAAGCAAGAGGAAGAGAAAGCAAUCAAAUCAAGAUCAAGAUCAAGUGGAAUUGGAUCAACUCGAGUGUAAUUUUUCAGAAACUUCAGUUCUAUCAAUGUAGGCAAGAAGAUUAAGUUGAUUUGAGGUCAAAUCGAAGCAACUCAGUUCUUGAUCCUCAAAAUUCAAAUCCAUGUAUCUUUUUAUAUACUUGGAAUUGGACAAAAUUGAGGCCAAAUUCGAGCUCCUAAGCAUUUUUUCUUUAAAUCCAUGUCUUGCUUUUUCAUUUUGGUGAUGGUUGAUGGUGGACAAGUCCGGUAAGGUCCACCAGAGAAGAAGACCGGAGCCCUAGAUCCGGUUAUGUGUUGUCACACAUCUCAGCCAUAUGAUCCAGUUUAAACGUUUUAAUCUCGUGCGUUGCUUUUGAUUACCACGUAUGUGGAAUAGUUGAUUGAAGCGCAUGUGGAACACGCUUUUCCAUCCAUCUGAUAUGUCACCUCAAUUAAUGAGGGAGAUCAGAUGACUCUCCUUUUUUUGAAUUUUUGAAUAUUUCAUUUAAUUGCUUUAUUUUAAUUAAUUCAUAUUAAUUUCAUUUUUAAUCCAAAAAAUAUGGGACUUUCACGAAAAAAAUUCAAAUAUGUUUCUCUUUCAUUUUCUGAAUUAAAAUUAUUUUUUGGAUUAAUUUUGAUAUUUUCCAUGAAUUAAUUGUUUUUGUGCAUAUUUUUAAUUGUUUAAAAAUACUUCUGACUUUUCAAAAAUAAUGAAUUUUUUUGUCCAAGGUCCCUUGACCUUAUUUGACCUACGAUAAAUCUCUUGGCCAUUUAUUUGGUGUUUUGAAGUGGUUUUAGGUUUUUGAUCAAACAUAAUUAAAUUUAAAUGUAUUUUAAUUUGAUUUUUAAUUGAUUAAUUAUGUAGAAAUCAUGUUGAGCCAUUUUUAUUGACUUGUGAAGUUUGAUUUUAUGUUUGGGCCUUGGUCAAUGUUGAUUUGACUUUUGUUGGAUUAAAAUUAUUGGAUUUAGGGGAUUGAUGAAAUGUACAUUUCAUCUCCCAAAAUGAAUGAAUGAUUUUAAUUUGAUAAAAUUCCUCCCAUGACCAAUUUGUGUUUGUCUCAUCUCCCAUUUGUUGGAUUAAAAUUAUUGGAUUUAGGGGAUUGAUGAAAUGUACAUUUCAUCUCCCAAAAUGAAUGAAUGAUUUUAAUUUGAUAAAAUUCCUCCCAUGACCAAUUUGUGUUUGUCUCAUCUCCCCCCUAUUCAUCUUCAAUCCCAUUCUAUCCCACCCCUUCCAUUGACCAAUGAAUUCUCAAUAUCCUAAGGCUAAUUGGUUCAUCAAUAACUUCAUGUUAGAUGAACCAAUACAAGUAUGAAUGAGAUUAGGUCCAUCCUCUGAUCAUUUUCUUUUUGUGUGUGGUAUGUUUUAGGAGUAUGGUUCAUUAUACCAUAUCUCUAACAUGCAUUAACACCAAAAACUCUAUUGCCCGACCUAUGAUAGUUGUGACUUCUACAUAAGUCCAAUUACGAUUGCUUAACACAUCACUAAUUUGACCCAAAGGCAUAGCAUUCUAGUAAGUGAGAUUGUAAGUCUCCCCCCUUUCAUGGUAUUGUGUGGAAACUUGGUCUUUUUUCCUUCCUUUGGAAGAUGUCUUGGUUCAAGGAUCCAUGCUUGUGAAUAUAGGGUUGAGUAUUCUCCAAAGAAUGACUUAAUCAAUUGAAAAGCAAAACAUCACUAACAUCUAAUCAACUAACACUUGACUAACUUCUAUUAUUAUUGAUUUUAAUUUCAAGUCAUUUACCUUAUGCCAUUUAUAUUCAAGUCAUUUACCAUUUCAUUUGCCAUUUACAUAUCAUUUAACUUGUUUAUGUUUAUGCCAUUUUUACUUUGCUCACUUGAGCCAUAUAAUAAUUUCAAGUCAUUUACCUUAUGCCAUUUAUAUUCAAGUCAUUUACCAUUUCAUUUGCCAUUUACAUAUCAUUUAACUUGUUUAUGUUUAUGCCAUUUUUACUUUGCUCACUUGAGCCAUAUAUUGCGAUUGUAUAUAUUUGUUUGUGUAUCAUGUUUGUGUUUGUGGUCUUAGGACCCUAAAAUAUCUAAUAAACAACAAAAACCCUAAAAAAUGUUUGUGUGGACUGUUGGAUUUGACCUGAGAUUUGGACUUAGAAUCAGGCAACAUUCCCUAUGCAAAAGGACUUGGCCAAUGCCAACAUUUAUGAAGCCAAGCUAUUAUGAUUUGAGCUUUCAUCUGAUACAAGUAUUGGGAUCCACUUGAGUUCAUCUGCUACAUGGUCUUGAUGCAAAGGUUACUUUGAGCCUGGAUCUAAUGCCUUAUUCUGAGUCAUUCAAGGAGUAUUUCAUCUGAUACAUGGGAAGAUUAAGAAGAAAACUAUGAAGUUGCUAGCUUGGAUGUGGCUAUCUUUAUUUGAUGUCUUGCUCUUCAUCUUGCUACUUGUUUAUUGAUAUUGCUUGAUUCUAAAGUCCAAAGGAAAAAUGGGUUUCUAUAUGACAUUCUUGUCUGUUGGAUUGCAUCCUAUUGGUCAGAUCUUUUCAACUCUUAACUUUUAAUUUUUGCGUAGGAUUAGUCUCUCCAUCUCCUCCAAUUUCUUAAAUUUCAAAUCUCUCCCCCCUCUUAACUUAUGCCAUUUCAUUUUUAAACUCUUUUCUAAAUCAAACUUGUAAAUGAACUUAACCAUAUUGACUUAAAACUUCAAAAGACAAAAAGAACUAACACUCAUUAAAACUCUUUUAGGCCCUUUGUGCCUCUUUUUUUAAAUUUAAAAUUUUGUUAAAAGCAAUCCACUCAUUUUGAAAUUGAUACCACGAAGUACGAGGUUUUGAUCCCUCAUUUUUAUGUUUGCACGUAGGCAUAAGUCCGAAGGUCUUAUCAAACACAAAAAUAUAAUUAAUGAAUUCUUUUCUCAUCCCCACACUUUAUUUAUUACAAACAUCAUUUUAUAUCAAAAACACAUACACACAUAAAAAAGGGCUCCCUAGGAGUACCUAGGACACUUUUGGUGCUAACACCUUCCCUCUGUGUAACCCCCUUACCUGUAAUCUCUGGCAUUUUAUUAGUUUUGGUUUGAAAACUUCUUAUCUUUGGGUUUUGUUCGUGCUUUUCCCUUUUCCUUUGGAAACAAUAAAAGCGCGAUGGCGACUCUGGUUUUAUUGACGUUAAGCUUAUCCAUAGCUUAAUGGUCAUGAAUUUACCGCUACACAUAGCUCAGAUCUCUUCAGGAGUCAAUCAAUCUGGGGCAACCAUGUUGAGAUUCCACUAAUCUCUCAGAAUCAGUCGGAUAGGGGCAAACUUACUUCAAGGCUCAUAUUAGGGCAGGCCACCUCAAGACCACGAGAAGUCAAUCACUCCCAAGAUGGUUAAUUAAGAGUAUACAGUUUCGAGACGCUGGGGCAAGUCAGGUUGAAAUCUUUAGAUGAUGAUACUACUCAACAACUUUAACUAGGGUAUUUGGUGCAAAUAUUCAGCAUAUUGGGCAAAGGCAGACUACACAGGUACAAGCUCUCUCCAUGUUUCAGAUACAAUCCAGAGGUGUGACAACAACUAUUUAGCUUGAAGUAGGUGUCGAAGAAUCAUGUCUAUAUGACCUUAUCCUAGCCCAAAAUUCCCACCUCCCUCUAUAUGAGCAUUUGGGUUAACUAUUGCAUAAAUCAUCAUUAUGUAGAAAUCACGUCGCUUAACUCAUGCAUAUCAUUCAUCUAUCAUAGCAUGAAGCCGUAUAUGCAAAUCAAAGGAAUCAAAGCCCAAUAUUUUAUUGGCAUCUACCUAUUCCAAACUUGCCUGGUACCUGUAAGACCCCAAUUUUGACCCUAAGAUCCCUCAUGCUAUCUCAUCAUUUGCAUUAGCUUUGGGAUCACACCUUGGCAUCCUUCUUACCCCUCAUUCAUUGGGUUUGCAUUGGGAGAGAUCACCAAGCACAUUUAAUUGUAUCAUACUUUGUUUUUCAUUAUUUACUAACCAAAAUACCAAAAAUAGGUCAGUGUAUAGUUUGUUGCUUUUGUAGGUAGUGUGUGUGAUCACCCAUGAUCCACCAAGCUCAUAUCUAGGGUUUGAGACCCUCAAUGUAAGGCGAAUAAUAAAUAGAUGGUUCACAUUGACUCUAUACAUCAUAUAUGGAUCCCCAUGGUCUUAACAUAUCAUUUUGAUCAAGAAUUCAUCAAGAGUUUGAAGCUUGUUUUCCUUGGAAGCCCUAAUUCAUCUGGGUAUCUUGUGUGACUUCCUCAUCAAGUUUCUUCACCAUUUGAUCAAGAGAAUGUCAAGUUUGCAAGAUGGUUCAUGGUGGUUGACUAGAGAAAGUCAACUGGUCAAAACUGGGGUUCCCUAGACCCUAUCUCCUACAGUUUUGUCAUGUGAAAAUAAUUCCAAGAGAAAAGUUACUUCUUAUGAUAUUCCAAACAACUUUCAUGUUGAAGUCAAGAGCUAAUUUUCCUUGUAAAGUCAUUUUUUUAUGGUGAAAGAUUAUAAGUCAUUUUUUCUAAACCCUAGUUAGGAGUUCAAUUUCCAAGGACCAUAACUUGCUCAUUUUUUAUGAGAUGAAAGUAAUUCAAGUUUCAUGAUCAAAUUCAAGAUGUACUUUCCAAAUUUAAUGUUUGGAAUAAGUUCAAAUUCACCUUGCAAAUGUAUGUUCCAAGAGGAAACAUUAUAGGUCAUUUUGGGCCAUUACCAUUGAACAUGUGAUUUUCCUCAACUUAUAAAAUGCAUAACUCCUUCAUGCCAAAUCCAAAUAACAUCAAAUUUGUGACCAAUUUAAAGAGGUUUGAAAGAGCUAUAACUUUUAUGAAGGAACUGUUUCCAUUUGAAGUCCAUAGAAAAAGUUAUUCAAGGUGGAAGAAGUGAACAUUUGACUUGGUACUUAGAAAAGUUUCAAAUAUGUUUGAUUUCCCAAACUUCCACCUCAAAAUUAAUCAUGAUCCAAGCUUCAAAUGGAAAAGUGUUAAACUGGAAAGUUGUUCCCCUUGAUCUCACCUUUCCAAAAAGUCCAAGAUCAUCUUAUUUGGCCAAGAAAUGAAGGACUUGCACAUGUGUUCUUUUCAAAGGACCAAUUGGAUGAAUUUCACCUCCACAUUUCAAAUUCAAAUGCAUGGCCACAUGAAAUGAUUUCAGCAUUGUACUCAAGAAAUUUUGGACAUGAAUGAAGGUGAGAAAAACAAGAAAGGGGGGUUUGAAUUGUUUUGGAAAUAAAAAACUUUUUUAAAGAAUAAGAACACACAAAAUUUUAUACUAGUUCGCUUAGAAAACAAAGCUACUCCAGUCCACCCGGACAAGGUGAUUUCUCCUUCAAAAAGGACUUAAUCCACUAAUCUUGAAAGAUUACACAACCAAUCGUCUAAGAGAAUAAUCUCUUAGCCCUCUCAAGUAUACAGAUUGCGUAGAGUCACUUGAGGAACAAAGAUAAUUUAAGCAAAAUAAAGUUGUAAUGAAAAGUGCUUCUAAGAGUAAGCGAGUAUUACAGCAAAGUAUUAGAACAAGAGUUUUUCACGUAAGAGCAGCAGCUCGUGAAAAAUGAGAGAGAAUAAGAAUGAAGUUUCUGUGUGUUGCAGGUGUGUCUCUCUAGUGAGGUAAGUUGUCCUUUAUAUAGUAGUUGAGAAGGACCGUUGGAGUGAUGACAGAAUCUUGGUCUUUGAUGAGUCUUCAAUGUCAUUACUUUUAUGUUUCUUUCUAUAACUAUUUUGUCUCCCUUUUAAAUUCUUUAUUAAAAUACUUCCUUUCCAUGGUGAGAAUUAUUUCCGUUAUGCUUUUUGGACUUGUGAAUCUUUAUCAGAGUCUUGAUGUACCAGAGUUAUUCUUCAGAGGGUGAUCACGUCUGACUUCAUCAGAGCUUCUCAGAGUACUAGUCUUCUUGAUCAUCAGAGUCUAAGAACAAUAAUUUGUUGGAGCUUCUGAUUCUUUUUACUGUCUUUCUUUGAUCAGAAUCAGAACUUCUUGGACGUACUUCUUCCUUAGCGGCGUCUGAUCCUCUAGCACUUUGUAUCUAACACAUGUUUGUAUCUGAUGAAAGAUCAUAAACCUUCGCUAUUGUUCAGAGUCCUGCAUGAAUGUUUAGAGUCCUGCAUACUUAGAAAAAUUCUCGUUAGAGUGCCAUUUUUGGUUUCAUCCUUUGUUAUCAUCAAAAUCUCAGAAAUCUAUUGUAGAACCAAUUUUUUUCUUACAAUCUCCCCCUUUUUGAUGAUGACAAAACAAUUUAAGUUAGAAAUGAAACAUUUUCAGAAAAGAGUCUUAGAUUAGAUUUGUAGUGAGCUCCCCCUGAGUUAGAUUUGGGAGUUCAGAAGUUCUUACCGGACCUUCCACGAUUUGGUGUUUCUAGCUACUUUCCUGCAUAACUUUAAGUCAUAUUUAGAGACAAUGUUUGUAGAGAUUGAAAGGAAAUUAGAUAUGUUUUCAUCAGAGUUGUUUUUAGUUCUCCCCCUUUUUUUCAGAAUCAAAAAGACUUAGUAAAAAUAUUAGCAAAAUAUUGAUAUAUACAGGUAACAGUUACAGAAGCCAGAAGCACAGAAAGCAAACAUGGAAAAAAGAAGCAACAAGCAAAUCAGAUAAGGCAAAAAGCACAUCAGAAAGAACAAAAAAAGCCUAGGUGCCUAAGGGUUUGGAGGAGGAGGCAUCCUCUAGAGCAGCUGGGACAACAUGUUCUGAAUGUUGGCAUUGACAAAAUCCUGUUGGUCCAGUCUGGCUCGAACUACCUAUUGUUCUUUCUGCAGCUCUUCAAGGGUCUUCAGGACCAGAGGAACGAAGGUGGAGGACUCCCCCUGAGUCAAUGCAUCAUUUCUGGCAGCAGACUUUUCAGCAAGACGAGUUGCUUCUUUAGCGGCAACUUUGGCUUUUGCCUCAGUUGGAGCUUUGGCCUCGGCUUCUUUGAUACUCUGAAGUUCUUCUUGCCUUGCUUUCUCUUUAGCUUCCUUUCUUGCCCACUUCUCAGAUUCUCUGGCUAGACGCUCCUGGAGUCUGAUCUCAGCGUCUCUGAUGAAGUCAUUGUGGACUUGUUCAGAGAGGCCUUUCAGCUUGAAGGCUUCAGAAGUCAUCCAACUUAUCACUAUGUUCCAGUGAGUCCUUAUAGCGGAGGGAUCAUCACUGAUGCCAGAGUUGAUGGUCAGAGACCUGACCUUGUCAACUGAAGCUUCUGCAAACAUCUUAAUUGCUUCCUCAAGGGUCAGUAGGGUGUUUUCUGGUUCAGAGGCUUGGGAUGGAGAAGUGGGGGGCUUAAGUUAAGAGUGGGAGUUGGUGGGUCAGCGGAGGUAGUUGGUUGGGGUAUUUUAGAGUGUUGUGGUUGGGAUGGUUGUGAUUCAGAGUGGAUUGGUUUGGAUGGUGGAGGGUCAGAGGUGGUUGUGUUUGGGUUUUCUGUGGGUGGAGAGGUAACUUCUGGUUCAGGGUUAGAUUGUGUUGGCUGUUGAGAGGCCAGAGCAUGGUUUUGAAGCUGAGCCAGAGUUGUGGAGUGAGGGUCAGAGGGUUCAGUCUCAGAUGAGAGGGUGUAAUAAGGUGGGGAUUAUGGAGAUGAUGAUGAGGAGGGUGAAGUGGUUUCGUUCAGCAUUUCCGCUUCUGAAAUGGGUAGAGAUAUGGUGGCAAGAUUGAAUUUUUGAGAAGGUUGGUUAGAUGGUCUAGAGGUUAAGGGAGGAGUUUAAGAGUUUGUGUAUAUGGGCGAAGGUUGAGGGAGUGAGGAAGCAACUGGUUUAACUUUUACAGAAUGAGGGAGAGGUACAGACUUACCAGGUGAUCCAACCAGAGGUACUGGAGGUCUUGAUCCAGAUGGUUCUCCCAACUUUUCUCUCCUCGCCUGCUUUGUCUUCUCAGAUGGUUCUCGUGUCCUCUUCAUGAAAUCUGGAGGAAAUUCGGGCAGCCAAUCUAAGGAGAAAUCUGAGAUGUCUACUCCUUGUUUGCGCAGAUCAUCUAAGUAGUACAUGACUACCUCUGGAGGGUCGAUAUUUGAGAACAAAUAGAGUCUAUUUGGGAUCUUCCUCUGAUCUUUGAGUGCUUCCCAGGAGAUGUCCAAGGUUGGUUUGACCCUUAAUUGAUUAAUAAUUCCCAUGCUCUUCAGAUUGCGAGCGUUCAGAGGCCUUCCAGUGUCUAUCAUCACGUCUUCCAUGAGUUUGAGCUGUAUCAGAUGGUCCACGAGGCCACUUUCAAUCAGUACAUCAGAGAUAAGUCUCCCCAGAGGAAUGUAGUUUCUUGUCUUCAUGUUGUUUUUGGUAUCUUUCACGGAGUUUCUGAGAUAUUUGAAGAGGAGUGCAGGAAGGCAGAGCUUCAGACCCUUGUGAAUGCAGUACAGAAUGCAUUUCUGGUCUGUGUUGAUGUAAUCUGAGGAGUUUGAGGCUGGGCGAUGAUGGAUGGUGCCUAAGAUGAUCUUCAGCCAUACACGGAGGUUCUGAUGCAGUUCCUUGUUCUUGGAGUGAUUGCCUUCAGCACUCUAUUGAAAGAUUGUAGGGUUUAUCUCAUGGGACAGAUACUUUGCCCUAGGAUUGAUGUUGUAUAUGCGUCUUCCUCCAGCCUUCUCCAUGUUCAGAAGAGAAGCAAUUGAUUUUUCUGUGAUGACUAUCUUGACUCCCAGAACGUAGGAGACAAUGUAGUGAUCAUCAGCGUCAGCGAAUCUCCAGAAUUCUUUUACCAGAUUUGUGUAGACUAGGCCAUAGAGACGUUGGAAGUAGUUUUCCCACCCUUGCUUCUUCAGUUCAUCAGUGAGGUCGACACCAUUUCUUCUCAUGUUGUCAAAAUCCACCAACGUUUCACACAACACUUCCAGCUUUUCAAACAGUGUUGCAAGAUGGAUAUGAGGCUCACGAUCAAGAAUGUGAGGUUCUUUGUAAAUGGGAAAGGAGACGACGCCGGUGACUGCUGGGUUUUGAUGGCUUGAACUUGGAGCUUGCUCAUUCGAGUUCAUUUGUUGAGAGAAGUUAUACACAGACUGUUGUUGAGAAUCCAUGAAGAUUGUUGAUGAACUUGAGGUGAAAGUUGAAGAACUUGAGUAAUCACUGCAGAAAUGCCUUUGAGAGAGAGAGGAAAACUGAAGGAGAGGGUUAGGAGUAUUUGUGAGUGAAAAGUGUGCAAUUGUGAAAUGAAGCGUUUAAAUACCCAAAUUAGAGAGCAUGCCAAACGACACACAUAAUUGAGUUUAGCAUAAAAACCAAGUACGCACGUUAGAGGGAGAAUGAUUAUAGCUCAUAAAUGAUGUCUAAUCCCAAAAUCAGCACAUUGCUCGAGGAGAUCUCAAGAGACUGUUUCUUGAUUACUGCUAGACAGCUGUCUAGAAGUUCCAAGGUCAGACGCAUGAUGCUCCACGUGUUACUUUAUUUGAUCUUCAGAAAUACCAAAGGGUUGGUUCCUAGAGAUUUCUAACUCAGAUGACUUCUAACUGGUAGUAGCAUUAGAGUCAGAUACAGAAUCCAACUGUUUACAUCAGAGUCAUAUUUUGCUAUCUCAGAGGCACAUUUUAUUUAGGGCAAAUUUGAAUGUUCAGAUUCUUUAAGAUAAAGGAGAAUCUAUCUUCAGCAAGGGGUUUGGUAAAAAUGUCAGCCCAUUGAUAGUCUGUAUCUAUAAACUUUAACGUUACUACCCCUUUCUGAACAUAGUCUCUAAUAAAAUGAUGUUUUAUUUCUAUGUGCUUAGCUCUGGAGUGCAAAAUAGGAUUCUUACUUAAACAGAUGGCAGCAGUAUUGUCACAAAAGAUAGGAAUGUUACUCUCAAAGAUUUGAAGAUCCCCUAGUUGAUUCUUCAUCCAGAGCAUCUGAGUGGUGCAUAAUGAUGCUGAAAUAUAUUCUGCUUCUGCAGUGGACAAGGCUAUGGUUAAUUGUCUUUUGUUGGCCCAGGAUAUCAGAUUUUUCCCCAAGAGCUGACAAUUUCCAGAUGUACUCUUACGUUCCAUUCUGUCCCAUGCGUAAUCUGCAUCACAAUAACCAGAGAGUUUAUACUUUGAUGUUUUCUCAUACAUCAGGCCCAUGUUAGGAGUUCCUUUCAGAUAUCUAAGUAUUCUUUUAACAGUUAUUAAAUGAGAUUCUCUAGGAUUUGAUUGGAAUCUGGCAUAGAGACAAACACUAAACAAAAUAUCAGGACGUGUAGCAGUCAGAUAGAGAAGAGAGCCUAUCAUACCACGAUAGAGCUUCUGACAACCCUUCUGACUAACUUCUUAUUUUUCCAGAAUGCAAGCUGGGUGCAUGGGUGUCUUAGCAGGUUUGCAUUCCUCCAUUUCGAAUUUCUUCAGAAUGUCUUUUAUGUAUUUACUUUGAUGAACAUAGGUGGCUUCUGAAGCUUGAUUGAUUUGAAUUCCUAGAAAGAACUUUAGUUCUUGCAUUAAGCUCAUUUCAAAUUCAUUCUUCAGAAUGUCUUUUAUGUAUUUACUUUGAUGAACAUAGGUGGCUUCUGAAGCUUGAUUGAUUUGAAUUCCUAGAAAGAACUUUAGUUCUUGCAUUAAGCUCAUUUCAAAUUCUGCCUGCAUUAGCUCAGACAAUUCUUGACAUACAGAGGGGUUAGCUGAACCAAAAAUGAUGUCAUCAACAUAUAUCUGGCAUAUCAUGAGGUCAUUAUUAAUGUUUUUACAGAAGAGUGUAGAGUUAACUUUCCCUCUGAUAAAAUCAUGUUCCAGAAGAAAAUUACUUAGCCUUUCAUACCAAGCUCUAGGAGCUUGUUUUAGCCCGUAUAAAGAUUUCUUAAGUUUAAACACAUGUUUUGGACAAAUUGAAUUUUCAAAACCCGGAGGUUGAUUGACAUACACUUCUUUUGAUAUAUAGUCAUUAAGAAAUGCGCUCUUGACAUCCAUUUGAUAUAGUUUGAUAGAAUGAUUUACAGCGAAAGAAACAAGUAAGUGAAUAGAUUCUAACCUGGCGACUGGGGCAAAGGUUUCAUUGUAGUCAGUGCCUUCUUGUUAACUGUACCCUUGAGCCACCGGUCGAGCUUUAUUUCUGACGACUUCGCCUUUCUCAUUUAGCUUGUUUCUGAACACCCAUCUUGUUCCAAUAAUGUGAGUGCCUUUGGGUUUAGGAACAAGAUCCUAGACGUCAUUCUUUGUGAAUUGAUCUAGCUCUUCUUGCAUGGCUAGAACCCAAUCGUCAUCUUGAAGUGCCUCAUCACAGGAAGUAGGCUCGAUCAGAGAUACUAGUCCCAGAGGGGUUUCUUCAAGUACCUUGAAGGUUGACCUAGUUCGGAUAGGUUCAUCCUUGUUUCCCAGAAUCAACUCUUCAGAUAUGUUGGGGUGACUUUUUGAUUUCUUUUGGAUCGUUGGGGAUUUAGUUCCUUCUGAACUUUGUAUAUCAGAUACUUCUGGUGCUUUUAUCUUCUCGUCAGAACUUGCAAGAGUAAUCUCCAGAUCUGCAAGUUUCUCAUCUAGCUUUGACUUUUCAGGGUCAAGCUUAUCAUCAAAUCUGACGUGAAUUGAUUCUUCCAUAAUUUUGGUUUCUGUAUUGUAUACUCUGUAGCCUUUAGAGCAUUCUGAGUAUCCUAACAUAAUACCUUUUUGUGCCUUUGAAUCGAACUUGUUCAGAUGUUCUUUAGUAUUCAGAAUAAAGCAAGAGCAUCCAAAAGGAUGAAAAUAAGAAAUGUUGGGUUUUCUUCCUUUACACAGUUCAUAGGGAGUCUUUUCCAGAAUAGGUCUUAUGGACUUAUGGAGAUUCUAUUCUGAAUAUAACACGCUGUAUUUACUGCUUCAGCCCAAAAGUGCUUAGCCACAUUUGUUUCAUUGAUCAUGGUUCUGGCCAUCUCUUGGAGUGUCCUAUUCUUCCUUUCUAUAACUCCAUUUUGUUGUGGAGUUCUAGGACAUGAGAAAUCAUGGGAUAUUCCAUUAGAGUCAAAUAAUUCUUCAAAAAAUUUAUUUUCAAAUUCUCCACCAUGAUCACUUCUGACUCUGAUGAUUUUAGAGUCAAAUUUGUUUUUCACUUUGGAACAGAAGUUAGUGAAUACAAAGUGAGACUCACUCUUGUGCUUUAAGAAUUUUACCCAUGUCCAGCGACUAAAAUCAUCAACAAUAACUAGUCCAUAUUUCUUUCCAUUGACUGAUGCUGUUUUAACAGGACCAAACAGAUCAAUGUGAAGAAGUUCCAGAGGCUUAGAGGUAGAAACAAUAUUUUUCUUUUUAAAAGAUGAUUUUGAAAAUUUUCCUUUCUGACAUGCUUCACAUAGAGCAUCUAAAGAAAACUUCAGCUUGGGUAGACCUCUGACUAGCUCGUGUUUAUUUAGCUGAGAUAACUUUCUCAUGCUAAUGUGGCCCAAGCGUCUAUGCCAUACCCAUUGCUCUUCAUGAACAGACAUUAAACAUUUUACAUUUUGUUCUUUUAAAUCUGAAAGAUUUAUUUUAUAAAUAUUGUUUUCCUCUUGCCAUUGAAUAGGACUGUUCCAUUGUUCUGAUUAUUGCUUUACAUGUUUUUGAUUGAAGAUUACAUCAUACUGUCGCAUCUCGAAAAAACGAUUCCCGCAUGGUCGCGGAAAAAUUACGUUGAACAAAGUCGCACCGAACUUUAUUUAUCCCAAUGAAGGAUAGGGAAUAUCGAAACCUUUAGGAAAUGGAAUAAUGGUCGUCGCAACCAUAUUCGGGUUCGGGAGUGGAUUACGCAAGAGGAAGGUAUUAGCACCCCUCGCGUCCGUUGUACUCAACGGGAACCUUUUAGUUCUAAUUUACAUUUCAAGUGUUAAUUUAUGUUUGUUUGUUAUCUUUGGGUUAUAAAAUUAUUAAAAAUAGAAAUGGAUGAGAACCUCAGAAAGGGAAAGGGGAGGUUUUUUAUUAGUGUGCUCGCGAAGAUACAACAAUCUCUUGCCUACGUAUCCUUAAAUAAGGAAAUCAGAGCAUUCGUAGUUCGGGGAACUACGGUUGGUUGGUGUCUUUUAGUGAACAACCGUUUAGAUCGCGUCCUAAAGGCUAAACGUUGGCUUGUCUACUCUCGGCGGAGGCUUAAGCACUAGUUUGUCAUGCGCAUUAGAAAGGAUUAAAUGGUGUUCUUUUUGAAAAUAGUUUUGGUCACACGGGGGUGACAAGUUGAGUUGAUAUGUUUGAUGUUUUGUUUGAUUGGUUCUGGUCGCACGAGGGCGAGAAAAGGAUAGACUUGAUGUGUUGGGAUGUUUUUUGUUGUAUGACGAUUACUCGGAUAGUCGAGUAAGACAACUCGUAUCCUAAUAAUCGGGAAAGGGAAUAGAAGACUCUAGACCGCCUUUUUUUCAUCCUUAAUUGUAAAAGGAUUUUAAUGAUAAUUAAUGUGUUUUGACUGGAUGACGAAUACUCGGAUAAUCGAGUAAGACAACUCGUAUCCUAAUAUUCGGGAAAGGGGAUAGAAGACUCUAGACCACUUUCUUUUUCAUCUAAGUGAUUAUAAAAAUAAGUUUAUGUAUGGUCGAUGUAUUUUAGAAUAAACGACAAGUACUUGAACGGCUGAGUAAGACAACUCAUAUCCAAGCAUUUGAGAAGAGGAAUUGAAAACUCAAGACCAUCUCCCUUUUCGUAUAGUUUUGAUUGACAAUGAUUUGACUUACGGUAAGAGUCGGCGGAAAAGUGACAAUUGUUCGAUUGGCCGAGUAAGAGAACUCGUAUUCAAACAAUUGGGGAGAGAAGUUGAAAACUCAAAGUCAUCUCCCUUUUCAUUUAACUUAUUAUGAAAAUAAUCCGAUUUAAUCGGAGUUUGGAAGUUGGUAUAGGAAUGACAAUUAUUUGACUAACCAAGUAAGAGAACUUGUAUUCAAAUAAUCGAGGAGAAAAAUUGAAGACUCAAAGUCAUCUCCUUUUUCAUUUCUUUAUUAUGAGAAUAAAUUGAUUUAAUUGUGUUUAGGUGAUUUAGCAAUGACGAUUAUUUGACUAACCGAGUAAGAGAACUCGUAUUCGAAUAAUCGAGAGGAGGAGUUGAAAACUCAAAACCAUCCCCCUUUUUAUUUCCAAAUGACAUAGCAUUUAAUUUAAUUUAAAAAUACUCGAUGUUGGAUCGAGGUUUGAAUUUGUGUUUGCGAAUAAAUUGGAUUACUUUGGUGUAUCAACCAUCUACUUGAUUAAUUAAUAACCGAAUAAGUCUCAUUGUAAGAAAGCCCAAGAGUAAGCUGUGUCAGGUUGAUGGCGAUGCUUUAAAAGCGAUCGACUUACAAAGGUGUAUGAAAAUGGGCUUCAGGUUAAAUCAAGAAUUGUGUGGUUCUAGUGGUUUAAAGUGGUUUUGAAUGGAUGAUGAAAUUAAAUGAAACCAAACUUGUGUUAUUAAGUGAUAAUGAAACUGUGAGUGUGGAAUAAAAUCGGUCCACUUUUAAUUAACAAAAAUUGAUUAAAAUUCAAUUAAGUCGUCUAAUUAAGGUAAUUAAAAUUAAUUAUCAAAAUUGUUCGAUUAAAAAUUAAUAUAAUCAAAUACUUAAAUUAAUUAAAAUUAGUUAACAAAAUUAUCCAAUUUAACCCAAACUUUAAUAAGUGACAAUGUUGAAUAAAAAUUGAAUUGAAUCGGCCAACGUGUGCUCAUAAACCGGUUUGUACAUAGCGACAACGGAGUUAGAAUGUCGUAUGUAAAGAUCGAAACGCGGUAAAAUAUCAUAUUGAUGUAUUGUAUCUUUGGUGGCAUAAUGGUAUGAAAUUACCGAAUUCACAGACUAAAAAUUCGAUUUAUUGUAAUAAAUAACAACAACGAAAAAUAAUCGAUUUAUUUACAAAAUUACCAAAUUGAUUAUAAUGUACCAAGGGUGCAAAAAGAACAUACAUCAACUUACCACAUACUCGAACCAAUAAAACAUUAAAAUCUUAAUUAACUUAAAGCAAAAAUUGGUGAUAAAUACAUAAUUAAAAUGGAUGAAAGAAAUUAUUUAAGCUUGUGGAAAAGAAACUUGUUUCUAAAAGAAACAAUCAUUAAAAGUAACAAUAAUAAAGUUAACAGGUUCAUGAUAACGUGUAUUUUCCAAUGAAUAUAAGGGAUUCUCCCUUUGUAACACCAACCACCCUUCAUUGAUACGGAAAACAAAAAAUAAAAGGUUAGAUCUAAAAUUUAAUCUAGAAAAAAAAAGCACUUAAUGGCUAGGGGAGAAAGAGUAACACAACGACAGUUUUGACAGAGGAAGGCACAAUAUGAACAGUAAAAUCGGAACCUAGCAUUCUAAAAACAAAGCUCAAACAAAACAUCCAGUUUUUAAUACGAGCAGUAAAACGGGAACCUAGCAUUCUAAAAAAAACAAAACUCAAACACAAAAUAAGACAUAACGAUACACCUCAAAGCGAAAUAUUACCGAAAAAGAUGUUGUUCAAAUAGUGCAACAGUGAGGCUCUUGUGUGCUAUAGAUCAUACCAAAACUCUGAUAGGAAUGUCAAGUUUCGGCUUGCUCGGCGACGUUAUGGUGGCGGUAGAAUGGUCGAUGGUCGUGUCGUUGUGAGCGUGUUGUUGUUGUGUUCGGUUUCGGCGGAAGUUUUUGUGUAUCACAAUUGUAUAGAUGGUGCCGACAGUUGAAAAUGGUGGCCGGAGAUUGCUUAAUGGUGAAAGUUGGGGUUGUUUGUGUUUGUCGAAAACGGAACGGCGGAGGAAUAAGGGUGUAGACAACGGGUGCGAUCGGCGAUUUGGCGGCGAGUUGGUUUUGCGGCGUGGAUUGUCGCCGGUGAUGGUUUAUGAGGAAGGAGAAGUUCUUUUCUUUUCCUUUUUUCUUUUCCUUUUUUCUUUUCACAGAGAGAGUGAGUGGUAGUGAGGUGAGUGAGAGUGAUCUUUUUUUAAGAAGAAGAGGCGUGUCCCUUUAUUUCUUGUUUUUGUUUCUUUCUUUAUCCUGUCAGAGUAACGUGUGAGAGAGUGUAGUGUGUGGGUGUGUCUAAGAGGAAACGUGAGGGAGAGAGGAAAGAUAGAGUGGGCAGUCUGAAUACCAGACGUAAAAAGAAGAAUCCAAUGCUAAUCUCAUUUUUUUUUUAAAACAACUACCAUUAUUUAAAAUUUCCUAUUAAAAAUUUCUAAUAAGUAUUUUGAAUAAAUUUUAAUUACUUUAGUUGAAUAAUUAACCUAAUAAAAUGAUCGAUUAUAAAUAAAAGUCGGAUAUAAAUUUGCUCGAAAAAUUAAAUCGGGCACACUAAAAUAAUCAGCACAAAAUAUACUUAUUGAAAAAAUACAGCGUUUCUUUAAAUUUUGAAAUAAAUUUGCACCGGUUAAAAGGCUCAGGCGGGUCAAAACGCAACUGAAACAGCUGCUGAAAAAUACAACGAGCACACCAGGUUAAACCAAAUGAACUGUAGAUUAAUAAUACUGGUCUCUGUAAUUUUAAUUCUGAAACUUUUUACCCGCUGAUUUUACAUGUUCCUGAGAAAAGAUUCAACCGAUUUGUCUGUAUUUUCAAUAAAUUUAUCCUGACUGAUAUUUCAGGUGUUACUAAUGAUAAAAUGCAUGUUAUGAUGUACAUAUGACGUAAACUGAAAAUUAAAUCGAAUUUUAUAAAAAUUUAAAUAUGCCCGGACAAAAUUGGGGUAUGACAGAUGCCCCUAUUUCAUUAUCUUGAACUAGAAGGUAAGAAUGACAACAGUCUUCAUACAUUCGUAGUGGAAGAUAAUUAAAUACGAAAAGACCCAAAUUUUGUCUUUUUGAAAUGCAAGGAAGAAAUGCAAUAUUUCAUUAUCUUGAACUAGAAGGUAAGAAUGACAACAGUCUUCAUACAUUCGUAGUGGAAGAUAAUUAAAUACGAAAAGACCCAAAUUUUGUCUUUUUGAAAUGCAAGGAAGAAAUGCAGAAAGAGAAUGCAGUGAGAAAUACAGUAAGAAAAGUUAUCAAAAAGGUAAAAUGAAAGAGUCGAGACUCUCUGGGAAUCGUCAGAACAGUAUCUUGGAUGUCAUAAUCGAGAUAUUCUGGUAAUGGAAUGAUACCUCAAUUGUAUCUAAGACUUUCUGAAAAUUAGCAGAACAUUGUCUUGAAUAGAAAACACAAUAUUCUCUAGGGAUCAACGGAGCAGUUUCUUACAUGAUAUAAUCGAGAUAUUCCAACAAGGGAAUGAUACCUCAAUCAUAUCUAAGAUUCUACGAGGAUACUUAGAGCAAUAUCUCUAACAAAAAUCUGAAAUGAGACUCUUCAUAUUGAUGAAGCAGCAUCUCAAACAGUAAAAGUGAGAUUCUCUGUAUCGGGUCGAAGCAGCAUCUUAUAUGAUAGAAUUAAGAUGUUCCAGCAAGGGAAAGAUAUAUUGAUGAAGCAGCAUCUCAAACAGUAAAAGUGAGAUUCUCUGUAUCGGGUCGAAGCAGCAUCUUAUAUGAUAGAAUUAAGAUGUUCCAGCAAGGGAAAGAUACCUUAAUCGAAUCUAAGACUCUUGAGGAUACUUAGAGCAGUAUCUCUAAAAAAUCUGAAAUUAGACUCUUCAUAUUGAUGAAGCAGCAUCUCAAACCGUAAAAGUGAGAUUCUCUGUAUCGGGUCGAAGUAGCAUCUUAUAUGAUAGAAUUAAGAUGUUUCAGAAAGGAAAAAAAAACCUUAAUUGAAUCUAAGACUCUCCGAGGAUACUUAGAGCAGUACCUCUAAAAAAUCUGAAAUGAGACUCUUCAUAUUGAUGAAGCAGUAUCUCAAACAGCAAAAAUGAGAUUCUCUAUAUCGAGUCGAAGCAGCAUCUUAUAUGACAGAAUUAAGAUAUUCCAAACAAGGGAAAGAUACCUUAAUUGAAUCUAAGACUCUCCGAGGAUACUUAGAGCAGUACCUCUAAAAAAUCUGAAAUGAGACUCUUCAUAUUGAUGAAGCAGCAUCUCAAACAGUAAAAGUGAGAUUCUCUGUAUCGGGUCGAAGCAGCAUCUUAUAUGAUAGAAUUAAGAUGUUCCAGCAAGGGAAAAAAUACCUAAUUGAAUCUAAGACUCUCGAGAUACAGAGCAGUACCUCUAAAAAAAUCUGAAAUGAGAAUCUUCAUAUUGAUGAAGCAGAUCUCAAACAGUAAAAUGAGAUUCUCUGUAUCGAGGUCGAAACAUGCAUCUUAUAUGAUAGAAUUAAGAUUGCCGACAAGGAAUGAUACCUUAAAUUGAAUCUCAGACUCUCCGAGGAUACUAGAGCAGUAUCUUAAAAACACAAUGCGAUUCUUCAAUUGAUGAAGCAUAUCUCAAAUAGAGAGAUGAGAUUCUUCAGAUAAAUGAAGCAGUAUCUCGAAUAUCGUCUGUUAGGGGAACUCUUAAGAAAAGACUCCUUUUGAGGGAGACAUACUGGAAAUGCUCUGCAGGGGAAAAAGCUCAUAAGAGACUUUUAGGGUACCUCUGCUUGGGGAGCGAUGAUUGUAAAGAAAAUUGCUGGGAAUAUCAUUAUUAAUCGUAAAGUCGAAAAAAUGAUUUACUGAGAUAUAAUCCCACGAGCAUAUGCAGGGUAAUAACUUCAUUUGGAAUGAGGUAUGUCCAAGAUAUACAUGAAUGACCUUGGGUCCUGACAUUUUACUUUUGAUUUUUGUAUGAUGUCCCACUUUAGGUGGGAAUACCAUGCAUGGGAUGGUUCAUGAGAUGCAUGCAAGUAUGCAAUUGCUGGGGAUAUUUGGAUGUGCAUGUAGGAAUGCGAAUGAUCUUUAUUUUGUAUAAGGUUAUGCAUAAGUAUGCUGAUGAUUGAUAUGACUGUGUUUUUUUUUUGAAUUUUCUGUUUGGUAGGAAAACCAUGUAUGGAUGAUUCGUGUGAUGCAUGUGGGAAUGCAAUUGGGUAAUUGGAUGUUUUUGUAGGGUUUAAUUCUUGGUUGCCAAUGAGGUUGGACUUUAAAUGGGAACUGCCAUAUGAGAACUGGUGAAGGAGACUGAACUGCCAGAUGAGGACAGCACCUGAAGGAUAUGUUACCAGACGUGAAGUGGUGAAAAUAAUUGAAAUGUCAGACGGGACUGAAUUUGUUUUUGGUUAUCAGACAGGAAUUGAUUUUUAAAGUAGGCUACCAGACGAGAACUGGUGAAAAUAAUUGACUACCAGAUGAGAACUGGUAUCGAAAUAGGUGACCUACCAGACGAGAACUGGUAUUAAGAGAUAAUUUACCAGACAAGAACUGGUAUUUGGCAAAUGAUUUUUCAUACAAGAACUGAUUUUUGAUAUAGUUUGCCAAACGGGAACUGGACUUUGGAAUAAGUUGCCAGACGAGAACUGAAAUUUGAAAUAAAUUGCCAGACGAGAACUGGGCUUUGAAAUAAAUUGCCAGACGGGAACUGGGCUUUGAAAUAAAUUGCCAGAUGGGAACUGGGCUUUGAAAUGAAUUGCCAGACGAGAAUUGGACUUUGACAUAAAUUGCCAGACGGGAAUUGGGCUUUGAAAUGAAUUGCCAGACGAGAACUGGACUUUGACAUAAAUUGCUAGACGGGAACUGGGCUUUAAAAUGAAUUGCCAGACAAAAAUUGGACUUUGACAUAAAUUGCCAGACGGGAACUGGGCUUUGAAAUGAAUUUCCAGACGAGGACUGGACUUUGACAUAUAUUGCCAGACGGGAACUGGGCUUUGAAAUGAAUUUCCAGACGGGAAUUGGGCUUUGGUGUCAGAUUUUGGGUUUCAAGGCUUUUUGAUGUCAGGUUCAUGUUAUGGGUUAUGCCUGAUAAAUGAUAUGAUAUGCAUGGCUUUAUGCUAGAGCAAAGCAUGUACUGAUUACGUACUACUACUAAAUUGUAAUGAUUGGAAGGUUUCCAAAAUGCCCCUGCGCGGGUAUUGGAAGAGAAGGUUUUUUUUUGCAGAAAGGCUUUUGUCUGUCAAAAGGUUAUUUUAUGGGGUGAUAACGUGAUUUCCCGACACUCAUCUUGAACUCUGCAGUCGAUGACGUGUGAAAAAAACUUUCCCUUGAACAGCUCGAAGUCAGGGAGAUGACUUGCUCCUAUAUGGCUCAUCUUGCCCCAAUGUGAUGGGUCUAUCCAAAAUGUUUACCUCGAAAGGAUUUUGAAAGCAAUUGUACCAUAAUUUGGAGAUGGAUUGCCCCAGAAUUUUGAUCCAUGAAAGGAUUUAUCCUUGGUUAACCGACUCUUGGAGUGGUUAACUUUUCUGUGCUCUUGAGGUAGCUUGCCCCGGUAUGAGCGUUGAAGCGACUUAACUCACCCUAACUGAACAUUGAAGGGGUCUGCCCCUGGCCAACAGAACCUCUAGGUGAUUUGCCCCUAGUUAAUAGAGUCCUGAGAUGAUUUGCUCUGGAUCAAUUGAUUCUUGAAAUGGUUUGCACAUUUAUUAACAGAUGUUGGAGACUAUUUAAGACUGACCAAUUCUUGGAGUAAUCUUCCUAUGACCAACUGAUGUUUAGGUGGCAUGUCUCAGAUUCAUAGGUUGUGAGGUAGUCUUGAUUCGGGUCAGCACCAACGAAUGUCCAAGUUCCUCUGAUUGUUCCUUAUUGUUGGAAUUUCCCUGACGUCAAGUACUGACUAGCAGUUAAAAUUGUUUGUUCAGAAAUGGUAAUUUUAAUGCGAUACUCAUGCAAGUUUUGAAAAGAAUUUAUUUGAAUGAUGUGAUAAUGUGAAACGAAUGGACCAUGAGUCCAAAUGUAAUGCUGAUUUAGCAAUUUAAAGUGUGAAAGACACAGUGAGAAUAAUGACAUCGAUGUUGAAGAUUAGCAAAUCUUUAGGAGUCAGUUUACGCAACCUUGAUGUAGUAUGCUUUCGGAAUAAACCCUACUUCAAUUAGGUCUUUUAAGGGUUGUAACGUGGCUUGGUUCAUGGUUAUCGAAACAAAGGAUAUGAGGCUCAAAAUUGUUUCUGUACCCACCCUUCUUCUUGAUAAACUCCAGUCCUACGCUCAGUUAAUUCACCAUACACAUUCAACUUUUAAGAGAGUUUGCAGGUGUAAGAUCUCUUGAAAUGACAGACACUUUAUUUUGCUCUUCAUGGAUAUUGGUGACCCUUUGAUUCUUGAUAUGGUGGUCACUAAAUCUUGUUUUUAUUUUGUUGAGGGUUUUCGUGACCUCCUUUCAUUUUUGUUUUGAUCCCUAACUUUUGCAUGGACCUAUUUUUGAAGCUUUAGUCCAUCGGGAUUGCCCCGGUUUUUGCCUAAGUCUCCUUUUGGGGUACGAAGGCAAAUCUUCACAACGCUUAGCACGCGCACCAAUCCGGAGGCUUCAUCGUCGUCUCAACGCAACGCACGAACUCCUCUUCACCUCCGUAUCCGCACAAAACCGGUGAGUUUUAUUCUCUUCGUCCCAAUGUCGAUUGUCGAUUAUUGGUGUGUCGUUCUCGCCAUCGCUUGUUCUCAAUGGGCACCGCGUAAUUUCGUUUCGAAGGUUUGGGCCACCUUAGUGACGUCGCGGUGGUGGUACUGAUACGCUUUGUUGAGAUAGGUGAAAAACAGGGUCUUAAUGGCUAAUGACUGUCAAACCCGACCAUGGAUUUUGUGGGAGACUUGGGCCUUUGGCUCAAGUAAUUUUCUGGAUUCACACCCCCAUCCGAAAAUCUCUCAACAUCAUUCCUUUCCCAUGGGGCCGAAACAGUGGCCCAUCUCAAAUGCUUGGACCCAAUUUCUUUGUUUAUUAUUUAGUUAGUAAUCAACUCUUAGGUUAAUUAGAUUAAUUAAAGGGUUAAGAGUUAAUUAGAUUAGAUUUUAGAUUACACUAAUUAUAAGAUUAGGAUUAAUUUUAGAUAAUAUUAGAAGUUUAGGUUGUUAGAAUUAAUUAGGAAUUUUAGAAAUCUAAUUAGGUUAAUAAGGUUAGGAUUUGAGAUUUAAUUAGAAAUUUAGCAUUUUUUUAUAAUUUUAAUUAGGGUUUUAUACUUUUGACUAGGUUAUGUUUAUAUUUUAACUAGGCUUAGUUAGUUUCUAAUUAGAAGUUGAUUUUUAGAAACUUCUCCCUAAUUAAUCCAUUUUUUGGCAUAUUGGCUAUUUUGCCCCUAGGUAGAAAAAUCUUGAUUUUUAUGCAUGCUCCCUUAGUUUAGGGCCUUAAUCAGAUUUAUCUGAUUUUUAUUUAGUUGAUUAUUU